UCUGUUCUUUGGCUGCCAUAGCACUAACAGUUUAUGGAAAAGAAUAUGCAAUUGGUUGGGAUAUUCUCGAACUAUUGGCUGUUGGGAUUCUGAGCUCAAUUGGAUAUGUAGUAUAGCUAAGAGCAGGCAAUGGCAUAAUUCGAUAACAGCUGCUGCAUUCAUAACUACAACUGCACUUAUUUGGAAAGCAAGGAACCAUAUUCGAUUUGAAGGUGCUACAUAUGUGGAGGAUUUGCUAUGUCGAGAGAUUGCCUUAUUGAUACAUAUUCGAGGCAGUAAAAACAAGCAAUGGCAAAUUGGACUGAGAAAGCUCAACUAUUUUCCUUAGCCUAUGACAUUACAUGCUAUAGACAGAUUUGUAGAUACAUAGCCAAAUAGUGUAGUGAGAUUCUUGUAUUAGUAUAGUAGUUAGUCCAAUACUACUAUCAUGACCUUUGAUGUACAUAUACUUUGUUAUCAAUGAAAGCUUAAUUUUACAAAAAAAAAUAAAAAAUUACAACCUUAGAUCCUUCUCUUAAUUGUUUACAACUUAAUCAUAGUUAGUCUUUAUUUACUUAACUGCAGCCAAUCGUAGUUGGUAAAACUAUCCUCAAUUGUGAUUCAAAAUAUUUGGGAAGUUGAUUACGUAGAAUUUGGUGAAUCUAACAAGAUUAAUUGAUAGGUUAAUUCCUUGUCGGUUCGACACUGGCUAAAUACUCAGAUUAUAUUUGCAACGUCCACUUAGUCCUUUUUAUAAGGCAUAGUUGGACAUGAUCAAAUUUUGGCACCGUUGCCGGGGAAUUAAUAGCUUUAUUAAUUACAAUUGAAAGAAAUACAAUAAUUUUUAAUGUAGUCAGUUUUCUCUAUAUCCAAUCUAUACAUUGAAAUUUUAACGUUUGUCGAAUUUUUGUACAGGUGCAUGCCUAGAAACUCAUCGAGAAUUGCUGAUUUCUUUGAAGCAUUAUCAGAUCCCGAAAAUUUUUCAAGGACUUGAAUUGGGCCAAUCGGAAAAAUAAGCAACUAAACAAUUCGAACCAAAUAUGGGGGAUAACAUGGUAACCUAGCUACGCCAGUAGUGCCGGUGGCACCUCUUGUGCCAGAAGCUGCUCUAUAUGACUGGGCAUAACCCACAACAUAGAGCUUGGCCACAAUGAUUGUAGUCCUACAAAUAUAGGUUGAAUCAUUUCAAGUCAUGAUCAACAUGCUGCACUUGUUGCAAAAUAAGGGACUAUUUUCGGGGUCACAAAUCGAAGAUCCUCAACAACACCUAAAGAAUUUCCUGUCAAUUUGCAAAACUCAAAGGCAACCCAACGUAACUCAAGAAACAAUAAAGAUAUUGUUGUUUUCAUUCUCAGUGACAGGAGCUGCCCAGACCUGGCUAAAAUCACUCCCCAUUAAUUCCAUAACGACUUGGGAGGAGUUAGUCAAGAAAUUUGUGAACAAGUUCCAUCCAACCAAUAAGACUGCUCAACAAGUUGAUGAAAUUUUGAGUUUCAGACAGAUAGCAAUUGAGACACUGCAAGAAACAUAGGAACGAUUCAAAGGGAUAUUAGUUAUAUGUCCGCACCACGGUAUUCUAGAUCAGAUGUUGGAGUAGUAGUUUUACAUGGGUUUAUCAGAUGGCGUGAAUGGUAAUGUUGAUGCUUCAGCUAGUGGAGCAUUUUGGAGCAAAACAUUGAGAGAAAGCUAGAGUGUGCUUGUCAAGAUGGCACAGAAUUUCGGGUGGACAACCAGGAAUGCACCGAUCACUCUAAUGGUUCACUCAGUGCCCUUAGAUCCAUCCAACACUAUUGCUGAAAACAUAGCCAUAUUAAUAACACAGAUGAGUACACUCACCAAAAAGGUGGAACAGUCAGGGAAGAAGCAGCAGGUACACAUUGUAGAUACUACAUGCAUGCGGCAAGGGAGAUGUUCACGGUACACGACAUGACACCGCCAUCAGGACCUCCGCUCAAAAAAGAAACAAAGGGUAAUCAAGCCAUGCUUUCGAUCAAACCCAAUCAAACCAAAUAAAGGACCAUACUGCGUCCUCACCUCGAGUGAUUGGAACAUAUUAAUCCUCAAAACAUCAUCGGCGCAUCUCACACUAAGGUAUAACCUAUUCCCUUUCCAUUUCGUAUUUUAGACUAAUCUUAUGUAGGCGCCCGACCGAAGCAGUCAGAGCAUUAGUCCAGCUCGAAGACCUUAAGGUUUUUUAAAGCAUCCAUUGCACUUUUUUUAUUGACUGAGUUUUUGUCCCGAAAAGGAUUUUACCGACAGGUUUUUAACGAGGCAACAUCUGCAUGCUGCCUAAAGGAGAUUCAACAAGUGUCUGAGGCUUCUUUUGAAAUCAACCUCGAACAUUGAGGGGAACCCCNNNNNNNNNNNNNNNNNNNNNNNNNNNNNNNNNNNNNNNNNNNNNNNNNNNNNNNNNNNNNNNNNNNNNNNNNNNNNNNNNNNNNNNNNNNNNNNNNNNNNNNNNNNNNNNNNNNNNNNNNNNNNNNNNNNNNNNNNNNNNNNNNNNNNNNNNNNNNNNNNNNNNNNNNNNNNNNNNNNNNNNNNNNNNNNNNNNNNNNNNNNNNNNNNNNNNNNNNNNNNNNNNNNNNNNNNNNNNNNNNNNNNNNNNNNNNNNNNNNNNNNNNNNNNNNNNNNNNNNNNNNNNNNNNNNNNNNNNNNNNNNNNNNNNNNNNNNNNNNNNNNNNNNNNNNNNNNNNNNNNNNNNNNNNNNNNNNNNNNNNNNNNNNNNNNNNNNNNNNNNNNNNNNCGAAGGUCAUUCGCUUGAAAAAUCCAAGAGAUGCCUAAUUGGGCCCCUAUCGAAAAAUAAUGUAGCGGGCCAAACAGUCAAAUGAACCCUGUACUAUACCCGGGCCCCCGAUGGUAAAAAUUGUACUCUUGUACCAAAUAAUUGAAGAACAUUUGUUAUCAAAGCAUCUCACGCUCCAAAAGAGGCUUAGAACCUUCUCAAAAACAACUCCCAUACAGAAAGUGUCCCAAACACUCGGGGACUAGCGUCAAUAAUUCAACACGUAAACGACCUCUGGGUCGGGACUCCAAAAUCGUAAUCCCUCAUAUAAGGCAACGCAGAAAUUGCUAAACAUCUGCAACACCAAAAGUACCUCGAAUACUCGGGGAUCAGCGUCGAAAUCUAAAAAUAGCUCCCGAGUCAAUACAAAGUUUGCAAAAAAUGGUUCCCGAGUCAAGGAACCCUUGACGACUCGGGGACUGCCGUCAAGCACCAUCUCCAUUGACUUAUAAAAACCCGAGGUUGUAAGACCCCGAGCGGGGAAAGUUGGUCUCAUCAGACCUACAUCAUGUUGCAAUUAAACCUGUAAGAACUCAACAACAUGAAAAAUCUAUAAGACCUUAAGCAACGUAUAAACCACACUUGUACCAAGUGACAAAACUGUAUGACAUCAACAACAUGAAAAAUCUGUAAGACCUCAAGCAAGGUAUGAACCACACUUGUACCAAGUGACAAAGUUGUAUGAUUUCAACGGCAUGAAAAACCUGUAAGACCUCAAUGGCAUGAAAACCCUGUAAGACCUCAAUGGCAUGAAAUACUUGUAAGACCUUAGGCAUAAACCCGAUCUCAAAGUUUCGGCUAUAUAUCGAACUUGUAAGACCUCUAAAAAGGCAUACCCUCGAUAUAGAUGCUGAAACUACCUCACUCGGGACUCAAAGGCUCCAGCCAAAUACAAGUGACUCUGGUCACAUGGCUGUAGCAGUCGAACUAACGCGACUCGGGGACGCCCGACCGUCGCUAUGAGGCCUAAGAGCUAUUGUCGCCAGCCCACACGGGCCAUCAAAUACUCUUAAUCUAACUUGGAAAGAUCUAGUUAAACAGGCUACCCUCGACAUAGGAAAAUAAGCUUCGACCAUGUAAGCUCCAAAUCACAAGCUUCGAGCUACUCAGCCUCCAAGACAAACCUCUCGAGGUGCUCGAACAUUACCGCAAGUUACUCGAAAUCGAGGUUCUUCCUGAACCAACGAUGAGUCAGUUAAAAUCUACUUCAAAAAAGUCCUUAACGAGAGGAAAAUAAAGCCUACUAAAAAGGUCCCAUCGACCAAGCACGUAAGAGUCAUUAUCGCCAGCCUAAAGAGCCUUAGGGACACACGAACACUAACAGGUUGCAUUGACCAAAAGUGUAAGAGCCACUGUUGCUAGCUUAAAAUUUGAUAACUUGAGUGUCAAAAUGAGCUCGAGUGGUAAGUCGAUUCGGAGACCGCACCCAAAAUAGUUAACUAUACAUGCCUAAGGGAAAAACGUAAGAGCCACUGUCGCCAGCUCAUAUAAAAAGGUCAUUUCGACCCAAAGCGUAAGAGCCAUUGUCGCCAGCUUAUAUUAAUAGGUCACUUAGACCCAAAGAGUAGGAGCCAUUGUUGCCAGCCAAUGUACAAUAAAAGGUCAAAUCGACCAAAAGCGUAAAAGCGCCUAUCACCAGCCUUAAAUUAUGCCAUUGAAAGGUUAAAUAAGCUCGAGUCAAUUCCCGACUCGGUGAUUGAGCCCAAAAUAGGUAGCUUAAGUAUGCCUAAGAGUGAAAGUACGUAAGAGCCUACGGGUUAGUCCAAUGAGCCCCGGGGCCACAUUGCUAAUCUGAUGAUUCCUACCAACGCCUAGCUUGCCUGGUCAAAAUUAAGACAAAAAAAGAUACAAAAGGAGUAAUGCCGCAAGGUUUUCUUUCAUAUACAUGCAACAAACGCAAUCUUCAACUACAGACAUGCUUCGAAAAUGCUACAUACAGAUGGUAAACUCUAUGCUCCCCUGGAGGAUACGGCCUAUCGGCCUCAUCUUUUGUUUCAUCUACAUCGAGCAAAAGCAACCGAGCAUCACGUUCGUUCGAUCUUAAUAUCGCUAUUUCCUCCGAGAGCGUGAAGCCCCUAGCAUAGAUCUCUUUAAGGGUCUUUCUUCGAGACUUGCAACGAGCAUAUCCUUCAAUCCUCCCUUCACGAUCUAGUAUCCUUUUCAACUCGGCUUGAGCAUCAGCAACAUCCUUUGAGUAGAUCGCCAUCACCUAGUCAGCCUUAGUACUGCCCAUUGCGACUUCUGCCGGGGCAUCAACGAUCUCAGCCCUGACUUUCGAAAGUUAGGACUUAAUCUUUGAAAUCAUUACUCUCUGAACCAAAGCAUUGUCACGAGCUAUGCGGAGUUGAGCUUCAAAGGUAGGAACUUUGGCCCGGGCAUCCUUCCCUAGUAGAGCUUGAACCUCCACCCGAGUUUUUCAUUCAUCAUGCCCACGCCUGGCCCAACCAACUUCAUCUCAAAAGCACACUAGGGCCUCCAUUUUUUCCAUAACUGAAAUAACUAAGUAUUGGCCCCGGGAAUCAGGAAGCGAAAUGCACAUUCACUCGAGGUAGAAAACUACCUAUUCCUUUAGGUGGUUCUCGUAAUUCAGCCUCCGGCCCACCUCACACUGCAAAUGUACCAGCUCGAUUUCCUUUUCAUCACAAAGGAGCUUCAGGGAUCUCUCCUCAUCCAGAGCUUUCCAUAGCCUGGCUUCACAAUGAAGCAACCCGGACUUAUGCAUGUCGAGUGCCUGCACAAAAAAGACUCAGAAAGAAAGGGGUGGCGCAAAACUCAAAAAACCUAUGCCGAAACUCACCGCAAAGUGAAGUCAUUGGGCUUCCUCAAAGGCCGAACGCACAUAUGCCAAUCUAGUCCCUUUAGCCCGGAAAGAGCCUUCUCCGAUCGAAGCACAGUUGGUCGGUGCAUGCGACCACAGAUUUCUAGUAUCUCCCAAAAUACAAUCAACGGAAAAAGAAGGUGACAUCCAAAGGGAUCCUCUUGCCAAAAUCGGGAGCUGCAGAUGCGACGGGUUUGCAUGAUACUUACAUUCUGAAACCUAUUUCCUCCUAACUUUGAGCGCCAUCGCCCUGUGAAAGCACCUCUCCUUCAUUGUUACAAUUAUUUAGCCCAAAAGUUAGCAACCCUUCCCCCUCUCGAGGGAGCACGGCCUCACCUCGCCUCGAAAGGCUCUCCAAUGUCCACAACAGUAAUAUUAAUGCGCGUAAAGGGGGAUAUGCUUCUACACAUAAAAGAAGGGAAGGGAAGGAAUAACACAACACUCACCAUGGUAUUUUGGUUCCCAUCUGCCUUGGGACGCAGCUCGUUACUAGUUGAGUAGGUCACCAACUUUUGGACCCAGUCCGGCAAAUAAGGAAUGUUGCUCGAUGCUUACGGUACCACUAAUAAAAAAGAAAAGAAGGCACAUUUACGAAGCCAAGCUUUCGCCAUAGACAAAAUUUAUAAAGCACGAGAUGAACCACUUACGAGUAUAAUUCCAUUCCUCAGGGAAUGGCAUGAUCUCACCAGGGAUAAUGUCAGCUGUCCUCACUCGGAUGAAGCGACUCAUCCAUCCCUAAUGUCUAUCUUCCUCGUUGUCAAUAACGAAGGGUGUAGUCGAUCGACAUCGCAAGUUCAACAGACCUCGAUGGUGGAAGGGCCGGUACAGCCUGAUAAGAUAACUAAGAGUAAAGUCAAGCCCAACAUUCUACCCGAAAAAUCUAAUCAUCAUCCCUAUUUGCCAAAAUGACUGAUGGAUCUGUGCCAAGGUAACUUGAUACUGUAAGCAGAAGUCGAGCACAACCCUAUCAAGGGGGACCAGUGUGAAAAGAUACGUGUACACAUUCAGAAACCCAUCGGCAUGGUCUGUGAUGCCCUCACCCGUGGAAAAUUCCUGUAACAUCACUUUCUCCCCCAUACACAUUCGUUUCUCAAUAACACAAGAUGCUCUUCUCCUAUCAAUGAAGUUGUCUUCAAGUCAUACUUUUGUUGAUCCUGAAGACCGGAGGCAGAGCUCUCCUCUCCCUGUCAGACAGGCCCCGACAUAUCGGUUGUGGAGGUUAAAAAAUUAGAUAACUAAAAAGUAGGAAUAUGUGCAGACGCAUUAGCACUAAAACGCCGAAAGGCUGGCGCAGAAAAAGAAGGGCAAUUUCUUAUAAUGCAGAAUCUCAAAAAGGGAAGAAAUAACCAUAUUUGAUGUUUCGCCUGCCUCGAAGCCUGUUAAGAACACUAACCGAUGCCACAUUCUCCAGUCCCGAGGUGGUACCCGACCUUAAGGACCACCACUAGAACAAGGUUAGGCUCCAAGAAAAUAAUUACACAUUUUCCAGUCCCGAGGUGGUACCCAACCACGAGGACCUUUACCAAAACAAGGUUAGGCUCUAAGAAGCCAAUAAUACCUUCUCCAAUCCUGAGGUGGUAUCCGACCUCGAGGACCCCGAUCAGGAUAAGAUUAGGUUCCAAGAAGCCAAUCAUACCUUCUCUUGUCUCGAGGUGGUACCCAACUUGAGAACCUCCAUCAGAACUACGUUAGGCUCCAAGAAGCCAAUAACACCUUCUCCAAUCCCGAGGUGGUACCCGACCUCGACGACCUCCAUCAGAAAAAGGUUAGACACCAAGAAUCCAAUAACACCUUCUCUAGUCCCGAGGUGGUACCCGACCUCGGGGGUUUUUAGGCUCCAAGGAAAGAAGCCUUUAAACCACACCUGUAUGGUCCUGGUCCCCAGGUACCAUCUGGGGUUAGACAAACCCUCUUUCAAAAUCUAUCUACAGCGCUCUAACGCUAUUUACACUAAGCCCAAAGAAUGUUUCCUGGUGGUCCAAAUUUGACCAGACCUCCACUCGGGGACUGCCCUUGAGAGAUCAAAGGCAACCCCUGUCCACGAGCCUCCUGGAAAAUUUUUCUCAAAGGUUACCACAAAGUUUAACUAAUAAACCGUGACUCCGAGGCCCAAAAUGUUACUUUCAUUCUACUCGAAUUCAAGGUCCCGGUGACUUGAGUCCAUCGGCCCUCUUCGGAUUCUAUCAAAGGGAUAGCAAAGGAUUCUGCUCAAAGCCAUAUUAAUUGGCCAAUGUCUAGAAAGAAUACUCGCACCCAGGUUUCAUAUUGGUGACAACAAAGGGAGCCAUGUAAUCAGAGUCUCCACAAACAUAAAAGAAUACAACAAGCAUCGAAGGCAAAUUGGAAAAUAUCUUUGUAUUCGUAAAACAUUCAAUUACAAAAGCCCACGAGGGGUCCAUACAUAUGAUUACAAAGCCCACCAGGGGUUCUUACAUAGAAACGAAGAAGUGAGAUGAUACACGCACAGUGAAAUUGAAAGCCUGGAACCUAAUCUACUCUCGAAGAUUCAUCUACGGUAUCAACAUAUUCGAGCUCCGCCCCCUCGACGGUGAUACCUUUGAUCCAACUCCUCUAGGUUCCCAGCUCAAUCCCUCAAAGCAAUAUCUCCAAGGGCAAAGAUGAAGAAGAUGAAAAUGGGAAGGCAAAGAAGAGGAAGGUGAUGCAAAAGAGGCGGGAAAAAGAGACAUAGCUUGCCGGAGCCAAAGGUUGAAGAUUCGGAGGGCCUCAACUCUGCUCGCACGGCUACUCUGGGUCCACUUUUUGGGGUAUUAUCCCGGGCGAGCUUAGCAGUCGGUUUGCUAUUUUAUCCCUUGGGAAAAUAUUCGAGGGACGAAGUGCGACACUAGUAUAGGGUAAGAGAGUGAGCAGCGGUGUGUAGUUCGAACACUCUCCCGAGCAGCAGUGUAGAGUCCAAAUAUUCCCCAAAGUUGGAACAGGCCAACCCCCUUCGUAUCAUCACCUCGGUCUAAUGACAACAAUAAUGAUAGUCAUAACAAUAACGACAAAAAUAAGACAGUAUAAUCUCGAUCGACACAGCAAAACCUAGGUAAAGGGCCAUGGCUCGGCUGGUAAGAAUGCCACCGUAAGGUCUUAAGGUCAGAAACCCAGGCAUAUCAGGUAGCAAUAAGAGAUAGAUAAUGAGAAUUAGAAUAAAGGAAUGAAAAUAUGUUGAGAAACAAUUGAUAAAAUGUUAGCAUGGAAAGGCCCCAUUUAAAGGGGAUGGUAGUGUGGCCUACUGUGCCAUCAAUGCCUUAGAAGACGUAUCGACAUGCGCAAUCAAUGUGCCAUUGGAAACUGGAUCGACGGCGAUAUGGUCGCCUUGAAGAAUGGGAAUCUAUAGCACAUUGAAUGACACUGAAAAUACAAGCCCAUAGGAUGUACCAGUUAUCGUUGAGACUUACAUCAUAAGUAUAAUAUUGUCAGCAUGACAUCACUAUGGGAAGUCCAAAAAGUUGGGUGUCAAAAUUGUUUCUUAUCACUCAUAUUUAAGAGACGUAAGGGCUAUCUGUGUAAGGUGAAAUUGGAGGGUCUAAUUUCUCAUUAUCAAAGCACCUGGGAAGACCGUCUCAAAGUUCCGAGGCUACAAGGCACCGAUCGAGAUUCCUUCUUCGAGGUUCAUUACACUCGACCUUGUGAUAACAUCAACCACGACCACGGUGGAAAUAGGGAGUUCCCAAGGCAUAUGGCUAGGACUGAUGAAGCCUAGAGAGCUACUCUAAGACACGAAUCAGGGGGGUCGUCGAGUUGUCACAUCUUCGUACCCUUAUAGUUAAUGCUUGUUGUACUAUGAAGGGAUUCUCCUCCUAUAUCAUGGGGAUACCUAUUACUUUGUAAGGGUCGGUCACUUCAGUUACUUUACACAAAAAUAUACAAGAACUCUCUAUUUUCAAUCUAACACAUUCUCUCAAUAUUAUUGCUUUCAUUUAUUGUCUUCAUAUUUGUUCAUCAUUUAUUGUUUGUCAUAGGCCAUAAAGAUCCUCCGUUAAUUCUAUAUAAUGGUUAGUCAUACAGUAGCCAUCUUUGACAGCUCGUAAUCGAGCCUUAAGAUCGACCUCGAGGCCCAGAAUCGGCAAGCCCAAGACCCUGAAUAGUUGUCCUACCAGUUUGGUUAUAGUUUUAACUUCAACUCUAUUUUGUUUCUAAAUUUCGCAUACUCAGGAUCAAUUGCUUAACAAAAUAGCAUAAAAAUAGAUCAUGUAUGUUUGGAGUCCCAUCAACAAAUUUAAUUGUUAUUAUCAUAUUUAUAUAUAUGUAUAUAUGUAUGUAUUUUUAGAGGAUUAUAUUAUUUACACGGAGUGUAAAGGAUAUUUAUAUUAGUGUGGUUUAUCCAUUGUACCACCUUGCUUAAUCUGUCAGUAGUAUAUAUUAGUGUCGUCUGUCCAUUGUACAAACUUGCUUAGAUGUUCAUUUAGUACUCCGUUGUAAAUAAGCUUCCUGAAGAAGCUUAUCCGUAUGUGACUCCGCCGUAAAUAUGUUUAUCUAUUUAGUACUCUAUUGAAAAUAAGCUUCCUGGAGAAGCUUAUCACUUCGGUACCCGGUUAUGGAUAAACAUUACCCCCGGUAGAAGAUUAUUCAUAUCGGGUAUAAUAAGCUUAUCCUUUUAGUAUCCGGUUAUGGAUAAACAUUACCCCUGUUAGAAGAUUAUCCAUACCGGGCAUAAUAAGCUUAUCCUUUCAGUACUCUGUUAUGGAUAAUAAUUACCCCCAGUAGAAGAUUAUCUAUAUUGGGUAUUAUGAACUUAUCCAUUCAGUACUCCGUUAUGGAUAAACAUUACUGAACGAUUAUCCAUAUCUGGUAUUAUAGCAGCUUACACAGCAGCUUGCAGUAGCAGCUUACACAGCAGCUUGCAGUAGCAGCUUACACAACAGCUUCCUUUCUUCUAUUAAUAGAAGUGGUUUCAGUGCAUUAUGUACAUCAGUUUGAAUUCGAAUAAUAUAUCAGUCUCUCUCUAUACUUGUGUUUACUUUAAAGUCUUUAUUUUAUAAAACGUUAUCAGCACGAGACUCAGCCAUAUCGAGCAAAUAUUUUGAAAGUAUCUGAGAUAAGAACUUUCUUUUCCUAAAUAAUGUCAAAUCUUUCUAAACUGGAAUUUGUUGCCCUGGAUAUAUCGGGCAAAAGCUACAUGUCUUGGGUGCUUGAUACUGAAAUUCAUCUUGAUGCGAUGGGUCUGGCAGACACCAUCAAAGACAAAAAUCAGGCAUCAAAUCAUGACCGUGCCAAAGCAAUGAUAUUCCUACGCCAUCACCUUGAUGAGGGCCUGAAAAUGGAAUAUCUUACCUACAUGUCUUGGGUGCUUGAUGCUCAAGUUCAUCUUGAUACAAUGGGUUUGGAAGACACCAUCAAAAACAAAAAUCAGGCAUCAAACCAAGACCGUGCCAAAGCAAUGAUAUUCCUACGCCAUCACCUUGNNNNNNNNNNNNNNNNNNNNNNNNNNNNNNNNNNNNNNNNNNNNNNNNNNNNNNNNNNNNNNNNNNNNNNNNNNNNNNNNNNNNNNNNNNNNNNNNNNNNNNNNNNNNNNNNNNNAAGAUCCAGUCAUACUGUGGAAUAAUUUGAAAGAUAGAUAUGACCACCUGAAGAUGGUCGUUCUUCCACAUGCACGAUAUGAUUGGACCCAUAUAAGGCUACAAGAUUUUAAAUCUAUCAGUGAGUAUAAUUCUGGUAUGUUCAGAAUCAUUUCUCAGUUUUGAAAUUAUGUGGUGAUAAUAUUACUGACCAUGUAUGUUAGAGAAAAUUUUCACCAUUUUCCAUGCCUCGAAUAUGCUCCUGCAGCAGCAAUGUCGAGAGAUGGGAUUUAAAAAGUAUUCUGAACUUUUCUCACAUCUUCUUAUAGCCGAGCAACAUAAUGGGCUAUUAAUGAAAAACCAUGAAAGUCGGCAUUUAAAAAGUAUUCUGAACUUAUCUCAUAUCUUCUUGUAGCCGAGCAACAUAAUGGGCUAUUAAUGAAAACCCAUGAAAGUCGACCUACUGGUUCUUGUCCAUUCCCUGAAGUGAAUGAGACGAACUUCCACCAAGUUAAACGUGGAAGAAGUCGUGGCCCCAGUCGUAGUCAUGGCCGUGGUCGGGGAAGAAAUCCCAAUCAUGGUAAUAAUAAUGCACCAAAGAACCCUCCUCGCCACCAGCAGUGAAAAAGGAAGGAACAAAAGCAUGAAGCGAUGCAAGCACCAAAUAGAGAGUGCAUGCUAUAGAUGUGGAGGAAAAAGGCACUGGUCACGUACCUGUCGUACGCCAAAGCACCUGGUUGAGCUUUAUCAAGCCUCCCUGAAAAAGACAUAGAAAAAUGCUGAAGCAAAUUUUAUUUCUGAAGAUAAUUUAGACUUUAUGCAUUUAGAUGUAGUUGAUUACCUUGCACUUCCAGAAGGAGAAACAAGUCAUGUAAUCGAUGGUGAAUCUGUAGAAAUAUAAAUAUUUUAAUCUUUGUUGUUUGUAAUUGAUAGUAUGGCUAUAUAAUUAUUUUACAUAAAUAAAGUAGAAAUAUAAAUAUUUAUUUGUUGUCUGUAAUAGAUAGUAUGGUUAUGUAUUGUUGUGCAUAAAUAAAAGUUAUAUUUUGAUAAUGAUGUUUACUGUAAUAUAUUUUAUUUAUGUCAUUUUGAAGAAUAUGGAUAAUCCUCAAAUUAUGUUUGGAUCAAAGGCAAAUCAUGAAGAUAUUUGUGCUAUUGAUAAUGGAACAACUCAUGCCAUAUUCAGGGACCAGAAAUACAUUUCUUAUUUGCAUAAGGAAAAAGCAAAUGUUUCAAUAAUUUCUGGUAAUAUAGGUCUGAUUGAAGGCUCCGGAAGAGCCAUUAUCUUUUUGUCUAAGGGAACAAAACUUAUUAUAGACAAUGCAUUAUUCUCCUCCAAGUACUGAAGAAACUAGUUGAGUUUUAUAGAUAUCCGCCAAAAUGGGUAUCAUGUAGAGACAACAAAUGAAAUAAGUGAGGAAUAUCUUUGUAUUACAAAGAAUAUUUCUGGCCAGAAAUGCAUUGUAGAGAAGUUACCAACUUUAUCUUCUGGCUUAUACUAUUAAAAAAUUAGUACGGUUCAAGCACACUCUAUCGUAAACCAGAAGAUUACGGUUUCAAAUACUUUUGUGCUUUGGCAUGGCCGUUUGGGCCAUCCAGGAUCAAUAAUGAUAAAACGAAUUACUGAAAAUUCAUGUGGGCAUCCAUUAAAGAACCUGAAGAUUCUUACAAAUGACGAAUUUUCUUGUGAUGCUUGUGCAUGGACGUUUGGGCCAUCCUGGAUCAAUAAUGAUGAGACAAAUUACUGAAAAUUUGAGUGGGCAUCCGUUAAAGAACCUGAAGAUUCUUACAAAUGGCGAAUUUUCUUGUGAUGCUUGUUAUCAAUGCAAAAUGAUCACUAGACAAUCACCAAUGAAGGUUGGCAUUGAAUCCCCUGCCUUUUUAGAGCGUAUACAUGGGGAUAUAUGUGGACCUAUUCACCCACCAAGUGGGUUNNNNNNNNNNNNNNNNNNNNNNNNNNNNNNNNNNNNNNNNNNNNNNNNNNNNNNNNNNNNNNNNNNNNNNNNNNNNNNNNNNNNNNNNNNNNNNNNNNNNUGGUCCCAAUAGAUGCAUCUUCAAGAUGGUCUCAUGUGUGCCUACUAUCAUCUCACAACCUGGCGUUUGCAAAGCUAUUAGCCCAAAUAAUUCAAUUAAGGGCACAAUUCCCAGAUUAUCCUAUAAAGGCUAUUCACCUUGAUAAUGCUGGAGAAUUCUCAUCUCAAGAUUUUGAUGAUUAUUGUUUAUCAGUUGGGAUAUAAGUUGAACAUCCUGUAGCUUAUGUUCAUACUCAAAAUGGCCUUGCAGAGUUAUUUAUUAAACGCCUGCAAUUGAUAGCAAGACCACUACUUAUGAAAACAAAAUUGCCCACUACUGUUUGGGGCGAUGCUAUCUUGCAUGCAGCAUCACUUUUCCAUCAUAGAUCGACACAUUAUAAUGAAUAUUCCCCGUUACAACUAGUUUUUGUUCAUGAACCAAAUAUUGUCCAUUUACGAAUUUUCGAAUGUGUUGUAUAUGUGCCAGUAGCACCACCACAGCGCAGUAAGAUGGGACCACAAAUAAGAAUAGGAAUAUAUGUUGGGUUUGAAUCACCCUCUAUUAUUCGCUAUCUUGAACCAUUGACAGGAGAUUUAUUUACUGCUCGAUUUGCAGAUUGUCGGUUUGAUGAAACAAAUUUCCAACAAUUAGGGGGAGAGAAAAAGGAAAUCAAAAGAGAAAUUGUGUGGAAAAUUUCAUCAUUAUCUCACUUUGAUCCACGUACCCCUAUAUGUAAUCAGGAGGUCCAGAAGAUCAUCCAUUUACAGAAUAUAGCAAAUCAAGUGCCUGACGCAUUUACUGAUUUGAAAAGAAUAACUAAGUCACAUAUCUCAGCAGAGAAUGUGCCUAUUCGGAUUGAUGUCCCAGUAGGACCAUCUACUAGCAUGAGAGCUGGUGAACCUAAAACACGCCUUUUGGUUCUAAGGAUUGAUAUCCUCGAAAUCCUCGAAAAUGAAAAUCAACAAAUGAUCAAAACGAUACUAUGAAGGGAUCUCCUGAAGAGACCCAAGAUCUGAUUAGUUCUAAGAUUCCCCAAGAAAUCAAUGAACCCGAAGUUCAUGCGAGUGAAGAACUUUUAAUAAGCUCGACCGGUGAUGGGAUUAAUUUAAAUCAAGAAGAAAUUAAUGAACCCGAAGUUCAUGCGAGUGAAGAACUUUUAAUAAGUUCGACCGGUGAUGGGAUUAAUAAAUCGAUAUGAAAUAGUGGUGGAUAAUAUUUUUGCAUAUAAUAUUGCAGUUAAUAUUAUGCAAGAUAGUGAGGAUCUCGAACCACGAUCUAUCGAAGAAUGUCGACAGAGAUCUGAUUGGCCAAAAUGGCAAGGAGCAAUUCAAUCGGAAUUAAAGUCACUUGCUAAAAGAGAGGCCUUUUGACCAGUAGUCCAAACACUUGCUGGUAUAAAACCAGUUGGUCAUAAAUGGGCUUUUGUGUGGAAAGGAAUGACAUAAAUGAAGUUGAAAGAUAUAAAGCUCGUCUUGUUGCACAAGGAUUCUCACAACGUCCGGGAGUCGAUUUUGGUGAAAUAUAUUCACCAGUUAUGGAUGUCAUAACAUUUCGAUAUCUCAUCAGUUUACCACUACAUGAAAAGCUUGAAAUACAUCUAAUAGAUGUAGUUACAGCUUAUCUGUAAGGUUCACUUGAUAAUGAAAAUCCAUGAAGGAUUUAAAAUGCCUGAAGAAAAUCUCAGGAAAUGUAUUCAAUCAAAUUACAAAGAUCUUUGUACGGUUUAAAGCAAUCUGGGCGCAUGUGGUAUAAUCGCCUUAGUGAAUAUUUGUUGGAAGAGGGUUACAUAAAUGAUGUUAUGUGUCCAUGUAUUUCUAUAAAGAAAAUGACAUCAGAAUUUGUUUAAAUUGCAGUAUAUGUUGAUGACAUAAAUCUUGUUGGAACUCCAGAAGAGCUCCAAAAGGCAAUUGAAUAUCUUAAGAAAGAAUUUGAGAUAAAAUGUUGGAAAGACAAAACUUUGUCUUGGUGUGCAAAUUGAACAUUUAGCAGACGGGAUCUUUAUCCAUCAAUCUACCUAUACAGAAAGGGUCUUAAAACGCUUUUACAUGGACAAAGUGCACCAAUUGAGUACACCAAUGGUUGUUCGAUCCCUUGAAGUGAAUAAGGAUUUGUUCCGACCUCCAGAAGAGGAAGAGGAGCUCCUUGGUCCCGAAGUACCAUAUCUUAGUGCAAUUGGUGCAAUAAUGUAUCUUGCUAAUGCUACAAGGCCUGGCAUAGCAUUUUCUGUUAAUUUACUAGCAAGAUAUAGUUCUUCUCCUACUCGGAGACAUUGGAACGGGAUUAAACAUAUAUUGCGAUAUUUAAAGGAAAUUCUUGAUAUGGGUUUGUUUUAUGCUAACAAAGAUAGUGCAUAUCUUGUUGGUUAUGCAGAUGUAGGUUAUUUAUCUUAUCUCCAUAAAGCUCUAUCUCAAACAGGAUACGUAUUUACAUAUGGAGUUACUGUCAUAUCAUGGCGCUCCACAAAGUAAUCUAUUGUUGCUACUUCUUCAAAUCACGCUGAGAUAAUAGAUUCAUGAAGCAAGCAGGGAAUGCGUAUGGUUGAGAUCAGUAAUUCAUUUUAUUCGAGUAAAAUAUGGUUUGGAAUGUGAGAAAAGACCUACAGUAUUAUGCAAAGACAAUGUUGCAUGCAUAUCCCAAUUGAAGGGAGGAUUUAUAAAAGGAGAUAGAACGAAGCACAUUUCACCAAAAUUAUUCUACACACACGACCUUCAAAAAAUGGUGACAUUGAUGUCCAACAAAUCCGUUCAAGUGAUAAUACAACAGAUUUAUUCACUAAAUCUUUGCUAACUUCAACUUUUGAGAAGAUGGUAUACAAGAUUGGAAUAUGGAGACUCAAUUAUUUGAAACAAGGUUUUCAUCAAGGGGGGUAAAAUACGCGAUGCACUCUUUUUCCCUUAUUAAGGUUUUUUCCCAUAGGGUUUUCCUUAUAAGGUUUUUAAUGAGGCGCCAAACAAUGCAUAUUACUAAAGAUGUGUACUUUUUUUCAUUCACUAGGAUUUUUUCCCACGUAUAAAUAUAUUAUAUUAUGGAUGUUCAUUUAGUACUCCGUUGUAAAUAAGCUUCCUGAAGAAGCUUAUCCAUACGAGACUCCGCCGUAAAUAUGUUUAUCUAUUUAGUACUUUAUUGGAAAUAAGCUUCCUGGAGAAGCUUAUCACUUCGGUACCCGGUUAUGGAUAAACAUUACCCCCGGUAGAAGAUUAUCCAUACCGGGUAUAAUAAGCUUAUCCUUUCAGUAUCCGGUUAUGGAUAAACUUUACCCACGGUAGAAGAUUAUCCAUACCGGGUAUAAUAAGCUUAUCCUUUCAGUACUCCGUUAUGGAUAAUCAUUACCCCUAGCAGAAGAUUAUCUAUACCGGGUAUAAUGAACUUAUCCAUUCAAUACUCCGUUAUGGAUAAAUAUUACAAUCAGUAAAAGAUUAUCCAUAUAUGGCAUUGUAGCAGCUUACACAGCAGCUUGCAGUAGCAACUUCCUUUCUUCUAUAAAUAAAAGUGGUUUCAGUUCAUUAUGUACAUCAAUUUGAAUUCGAAUAAUAUAUCAGUCUCUCUAUACUUGUCUUUACUUUACGGUCUUUAUUUUAUAGCAUCUUACUCCAUUUUUCAGGUUAUAAAAAUACAUUAUGUUCAUCAAACCGCCGGUAGUGAUGCCUUAGACUUAGAGAUCUUAUUUCCGCCAACACAGGAGCUUUUUCAAUCUCUUUGGGAAAAGCCGAGUCCUUAUGCUGCAAGUUCCUAAAGCAAUACGCUGAUGGCCAUUUACUGACUAAUUCGUUUGUUUUAUAGCCGUAAGUAGGAGUGGAAAAUGGGCGGGUCUGAUCGAAUAUGGUUCAUGUCGAAAACGGGUAAUAAAACGAAUAAAUUAUUCGACCCGACCCAUAUUUAAUACGGAUAAAAAAGGUUAAUCGGCGGAUAAUAUGAGUAACCAUAUUAUCCAUGACAUCUUGCAUAUAAUCACUUUGGAGAAUUCUUAAUCUCCCUAACUUGAGGAACCCCCAAGUCGAGGCUUUGCAAAUGUAAAAUGAGAUUCAUUGGUUAUCCAUUUUCUCAAUGAAUUAUAUGGUUCUUAUACAUAGUUGACCCGUUUUUAAAAAGUUCAUUAUCCAACCAUUUUUUAGUAGAUAAUAUAGUUGUUAACUAUUUUCUUUUAUCCAUUUUGCCACCAUAACGCCCAUUCUGGGACGAGUUGGAAGAGGAAUUCCUAAUUCUUACACGGAUGAGACUGAUCACACCUGAUUAGUGAGAAAUUCUGACACCAAUCAUUUACGAGUGAGUAUUACACCAAGAAUUUACAAGCGGAUCGAGGAAUGAAGGGAGAGGAAUUAGAAUAGAAAGAAAGAGACGGAUUUCGAAUUAGAG
Molecule: long non-coding RNA, 17443 nt
Filed under: Nicotiana benthamiana
Lineage: Eukaryota; Viridiplantae; Streptophyta; Magnoliopsida; Solanales; Solanaceae
Description: long non-coding RNA (NBEN_LNC019623)
Source: RNAcentral